AAUCAACGCUGGCGGCGUGCCUAACACAUGCAAGUCGUACGAGAAAGCGGGGGCAACUCCGCGAGUACAGUGGCGUACGGGUGAGUAACACGUGACUAACCUACCUUCGAGUGGGUGAUAACCUCGGGAAACCGGGGCUAAUACCGCAUAACAUCGCAAGAUCAAAGCAGCAAUGCGCUUGAAGAGGGGGUCGCGGCUGAUUAGCUAGUUGGUGGGGUAAUGGCCCACCAAGGCAGUGAUCAGUAGCCGGCCUGAGAGGGCGCACGGCCACACUGGAACUGAAACACGGUCCAGACUCCUACGGGAGGCAGCAGUGGGGAAUUUUGCGCAAUGGGGGAAACCCUGACGCAGCAACGCCGCGUGGAGGAUGAAGGUCUUUGGAUUGUAAACUCCUUUCGACCGGGACGAUUAUGACGGUACCGGUAGAAGAAGCACCGGCUAACUCUGUGCCAGCAGCCGCGGUAAUACAGAGGGUGCAAGCGUUGUUCGGAAUUAUUGGGCGUAAAGGGCGC
RNAcentral lists this ribosomal RNA (512 nucleotides) under uncultured bacterium. RNAcentral's name for it is "bacterial SSU rRNA". It matches the Rfam family "Bacterial small subunit ribosomal RNA", at positions 28 to 570 of the family's 1533-position model. The record is from RNAcentral.